RNAcentral lists this ribosomal RNA (196 nucleotides) under uncultured bacterium. RNAcentral describes it as "partial 16S ribosomal RNA". It matches the Rfam family "Bacterial small subunit ribosomal RNA", at positions 1307 to 1500 of the family's 1533-position model. The record is from RNAcentral.
GAAACUACGCCUAUAUGAAGUCGGAAUUGCUAGUAAUCGCAGAUCAGCAUGCUGCGGUGAAUACGUUCCCGGGCCUUGUACACACCGCCCGUCACACCAUGAGAGUCGAUAACACCCGAAGCCUGUAGUCUAACCAUAAGGGGGGACGCAGUCGAAGGUGGGAUUGAUAAUUAGGGUGAAGUCGUAACAAGGUACC